This is a non-coding RNA of Equus caballus (horse), 475 nucleotides long. The record is from RefSeq and is a predicted model, not a curated record. Lineage: Eukaryota; Metazoa; Chordata; Mammalia; Perissodactyla; Equidae.
GUGGGGGGAUGCGGAGUGGGAGCAGUCGCCAGGCGGGCCGGCCCCCAGAGAAGCCCGUCCACCAUGCGGGUCCCCGGCUGAGACGCUGCCCUCACUUCCCUGGGGGAGAGAGGCCGCUUGUACCAGGCAAAGGUUUCCACCGCAUUCCGACCAGCCAGGCCAUGAUAAGGCAGAGCGGGUGCCCUGAGGAGCCGUGCCGGGAUGCCGCCAUCCUCGGGAACCAGAAAUCUGCCUCCUGAGCCUCCCAGGGGGACAUGACCCUCCCCUAUAACCUGCCAGCUGUGCUGGACCAGCAGCAGGAACUCUGGGGACCACCAUCUGACUGCCCACAGGCUGGGUCUGGGCUUCCCAGGUCUGUGUGGACGAGGCAGUUUUCUGGAGUUUCACCCAGUGGGUCAUUGUCUGGGGAGGGGAAAUGUCCUGAACAUGGAUUCUGUGUUUGUUUUCCUGGAAAAGAAUGAUUUGAUUAAUUUGC